UGGGGAAUUUUGGACAAUGGGCGCAAGCCUGAUCCAGCCAUGCCGCGUGCGGGAAGAAGGCCUUCGGGUUGUAAACCGCUUUUGUCAGGGAAGAAAUAUGCCGAGCUAAUACCUCGGCAGGAUGACGGUACCUGAAGAAUAAGCACCGGCUAACUACGUGCCAGCAGCCGCGGUAAUACGUAGGGUGCAAGCGUUAAUCGGAAUUACUGGGCGUAAAGCGUGCGCAGGCGGCCGCGCAAGACAGGUGUGAAAUCCCCGGGCUCAACCUGGGAACUGCACUUGUGACUGCGUGGCUGGAGUACGGCAGAGGGGGGAUGGAAUUCCGCGUGUAGCAGUGAAAUGCGUAGAUAUGCGGAGGAACACCGAUGGCGAAGGCAGUCCCCUGGGCCUGUACUGACGCUCAUGCACGAAAGCGUGGGGAGCAAACAGGAUUAGAUACCCGAGUAG
RNAcentral lists this ribosomal RNA (447 nucleotides) under uncultured bacterium. RNAcentral describes it as "bacterial SSU rRNA". It matches the Rfam family "Bacterial small subunit ribosomal RNA", at positions 355 to 793 of the family's 1533-position model. The record is from RNAcentral.